This 75-nucleotide transfer RNA is filed under the name Hathewaya proteolytica DSM 3090. RNAcentral describes it as "tRNA_Arg_CCT". It matches the Rfam family "tRNA". Rfam says of the family: Transfer RNA (tRNA) molecules are approximately 80 nucleotides in length. The record is from RNAcentral. Lineage: Bacteria; Bacillati; Bacillota; Clostridia; Eubacteriales; Clostridiaceae.
GCCCUCUUAGUUAAGUGGAUAUAACGGACCCCUCCUAAGGGUCAGUCAUCAGUUCGAUUCUGGUAGAGGGUGCCA